GCUGGGUGGGGACGUAACCAAGCGACCCAGGAAUGCUUGGGCGUGCCUCCACCCACGCCGGCGUCGGCGGGCGUAUUUCGCCUCACAGUAGGUCGCCGCGACCCGUUGCUUUUGGGGACGUCGAAGGCCCGGACGGAUUGGUACCCUACCGGCUGGGGAUGCGGCUUCGGCUUCUCCUCUUGUCCGGUGGGCGAAACCGCCGGUGUCCUGGCUGCCCUGCGACGGUCGUAGAGACGAGCCCUUCCCAUUCGUGGGGGGCGGCUCUCGCGGCGUGCAAAAGAUCGGUGAUCCACCCGACCCGUCUUGAAACACGGACCAAGGAGUCUAACAUGUGUGCGAGUCAGUGGGCGCACUAAACCCAGAGGCGUAAUGAAAGUGACACGGGUUCGGCUGUCGCCUCGUGUGGCAGCCGGACUCUGGGCCGAUCCCUCACCGGUUGCCCUCGCCUUUCUCCCGCGUCUCGGUAAGCCGGGUGAGCUAUUUUCCCCGGCCAAUGCUGCGGGGCUCGGGAGGAGGCGGGGUUGCGAUGGUGUCCGUAAAAAAGAGCCUGCUGUUGCAGGGGGGCGCAGGCCCGGGACUUGCCAGGACGCCGCGAGACUGUCACUUGGCUGUGAGGCUCCAGGGCCGAUCAGCGGGUCAUGCGUGCAGUCGGCAAGUACCAUGAGCAGACAUGUUGGGACCCGAAAGAUGGUGAACUAUGCCUGGCCAGGAUGAAGCCAGAGGAAACUCUGGUGGAGGUCCGUAGCGAUUCUGACGUGCAAAUCGAUCGUCUGAGCUGGGUAUAGGGGCGAAAGACUAAUCGAACCAUCUAGUACUGGUUCCCUCCGAAGUUUCCCUCAGGAUAGCUGGAACUCGUGGGAUGAAUUUCAUCCGGUAAAGCGAAUGAUUAGAGGCCUUGGGGACGAAACGUUCUCA
RNAcentral lists this ribosomal RNA (915 nucleotides) under Fallicambarus devastator. RNAcentral describes it as "eukaryotic LSU rRNA". The stretch from base 173 to 915 matches the Rfam family "Eukaryotic large subunit ribosomal RNA", at positions 1 to 1049 of the family's 3401-position model. Lineage: Eukaryota; Metazoa; Arthropoda; Malacostraca; Decapoda; Cambaridae. The record is from RNAcentral.